GACAGAGGAUGCAAACGUUGCUCGGAAUUACUGGGCGUAAAGCGCGUGUAGGCGGUCUUGUAAGUCGGAUGUGAAAUCCCGGGGCUCAACCCCGGAAGCGCACUCGAUACUGCUUGACUUGGGUUCUGAAGAGGAGAGCGGAAUUCCCGGUGUAGAGGUGAAAUUCGUAGAUAUCGGGAGGAACACCAGUGGCGAAGGCGGCUCUCUGGGCAGAUACCGACGCUGAGACGCGAAAGCGUGGGAAGCAAACAGG
RNAcentral lists this ribosomal RNA (253 nucleotides) under uncultured bacterium. RNAcentral describes it as "partial 16S ribosomal RNA". It matches the Rfam family "Bacterial small subunit ribosomal RNA", at positions 524 to 776 of the family's 1533-position model. The record is from RNAcentral.